UACGGAGGAUCCGAGCGUUAUCCGGAUUUAUUGGGUUUAAAGGGUGCGCAGGCGGAAUAUUAAGUCGGCGGUGAAAGUUUGCAGCUUAACUGUAAAAUUGCCGUUGAUACUGGUAUUCUUGAGUGUAUAUGAAGUAGGCGGAAUUUGUAGUGUAGCGGUGAAAUGCAUAGAUAUUACAAGGAACUCCGAUUGCGAAGGCAGCUUACUAAAUUACAACUGACGCUUAGGCACGAAGGCGUGGGUAUCAAACAGGAUUAGAUACCCGCGUAGUCCCUGA
This 277-nucleotide ribosomal RNA is filed under the name uncultured prokaryote. RNAcentral's name for it is "partial 16S ribosomal RNA". It matches the Rfam family "Bacterial small subunit ribosomal RNA", at positions 524 to 800 of the family's 1533-position model. The record is from RNAcentral.